This is a long non-coding RNA of Anas platyrhynchos (mallard), 2434 nucleotides long. RefSeq lists it as uncharacterized. NCBI's taxonomy places the organism in Eukaryota, Metazoa, Chordata, Aves, Anseriformes, Anatidae. The record is from RefSeq and is a predicted model, not a curated record.
CACUGUUAAGGCUUUAAUUGCCCCUUAAUCUAUUGAACAAGGAAAUAAGACAGGGGAGUAGUACUGAUCUCAUUUUUUUUGACCUGCCUGCCUUUUAGUCAUACCUCGGGUCAGAGCUGGCUUUUUCCCUUGAGUGUUUCUCUGUGUGAGGGGGUGGACAGAGAAGACUUAAAGAUGGAUGGCAGCACCUAUCCUUACUGCUUAGAUUACCUUCAGAGCACUUCACACCUGCAGGUGCUGCUGAAAAAAUGCUGACUUGCAAGUGGACUGGAUGCAGGAACGCAAAAUGGAGGAAAACACUAAAAUGCUCUUCCAGCCUUCCCACAGCCUGUCUGCAGCUGGAAUGUAUCAUCAUUACUUGGCCAACAGGGGUUGGAAAUAUUUAAUGGAAUUUACUAAUUUGAUCAGCAAUGGAGACUGCUACUCAGUGGAGAAGGAAAAUGGAUUCCCCCCAGAUGAGAGUGUAGCAAUACCUAAUUAUCUCAUUCUGGCUGUUGCCCUCUGUGCCCACAUGUAUUCAAUCAUUCUCAUUUAGUUCUGGCACCAUAAGGAUUUGUCACUUAAUAAUUUGUUUUACUUGUAGCCAUUUCCUUUUGAUAAAGUGAGCGUCAGGUGGCUGUUCCUGGGCAUUUUGCUGAUCCGAUCAUUGAAAAAAUUGUUCAAAUACUGUUUCUGCAUUGCUGCAAUUAGCAUAAAGGGAAAGUUGCAUGUGCUGCCAUAAAUUGACCAAUUUACUUGUGAUUUUUUUUGUGUGCUUGCUGCUCAUUGUUCUAUCUUUUUACCAAUACAUUCACUUAAAAAUAAUAAUAUCUCUUAGCCAUUUGCUGGUCUGUAUUUAUGUUGACAAAAGUUUCAACAAUAAUCAAUGAUAGGCAUAGAUUUCAUAUGUGGCAACCUUCAAUUUGAAAACUCUUGCUCACCUGAGUGUAGAUAGAAUGCAUUAUCUGACAGUAAUUACUCUAAUUAAUAAAUGGAUCCUCCUCCUAAAGCUUAUUUCAAGAGGAAGAAAGUGUAGCUUUCAAGUUGUGGUCAGGUGUGAAGGCUUGCAUAUGCUGUGAAUCUUAGUUCUAGAUGUUGAUUUUUUGUGUCCGUAUUUGUAAACCUGCUGCUCUGUGUGUAGUGGGUAUGUGUAUGCGCUAUGAAUGAAUUAUAAAUAUUUAGUUAUGCUUUUAGAUCUCUUUAUCACAUCUGAGCUCAUUAAAACAAAGCAAAUGUAAUCAAUCAAACCUGCUGGUAAAAUGUGACAGGCAGUUAAAUUAGGGGAUUAAAAUAGUGAAUUCCUGGAGGUACUCUAAACCAGAAGGAUGCAAAGAGCUGGGUUUAAAUGUGUUGUUGUGAGCAUCCCUACCAAAUGGCUCAUGCAAUACCAUAUGUAGGAGCAACUCACAGUAAAGUGUUUGCCUUUAAGUUGUAUCGUAUUAAAUAAGGACUUAAGAUUACAUGUUUGAAAGACAAAGCAAGCCCAGUUUUUUUUCUUUUUAAAUACUCUGAUUUAUAUAUAUAUAUAUAAAUCUUUUGCAUCUGUUUUGUAUCCCUUUUAUGGGAUAUUGGGUAAGGUUAUAUAACAACUUGCUUUAGUUAGAAGAUAAAUGGAUAAGAAAAUACAUUAAAACUCAUAAUCAUGUGGCUUGCAUAUAGUCCAGGAUCAUGUCUGAAUUGUGCUAUGCGAAAUAGAAAUAAGUAUUAAAUAUUGGUGCAAAGUAUAAGUCUAUAUUUUGUUUAGCCUUUGGCUUGCCUAGAAUGUAAAUCAUUACCCCACAAAUUUUUUUUCAGCGUAAUCUAAAGGAAUCUCAAUGUUUUUAAAUAUUUAAUCUUUUUUUAUCUUGUUCCAUUUUCUGUUCUAUAUUCCCAGCAUACCAAUACUUUAUUGUGACUUUUUUUUUUUUGAAGAUAAGAACCUAAUCUCAGCACUUGCCUCUUCCUUUAUGAACGUGUGGCAUUCUGCAAAAUAGGAUUUUACUCAGUGGCUGAAGAUUUGUGUGAGGUUUCCAUGUUUCUGAUACAUGCUUAACAGCUUUUAGCAGGUUCUCUGGAAUGACCUGAUAUUCACCUCUUGAAAAACACUGACUGGGAUCCCCAGAUAGGCAGAAUAGUUGAAGGUGGGUUUUGUACUAGCUAACCCAUCCCCAUAGCAUCUCUUUGGAUAGAUAAAGAAGAUCUGACAUUUCCAUCCAGUGGAAGCCACGAUGUCGCAUCCUAGCCAGCAGUGCUGCCAGAGAUCUGUCUUCCCUUUCCCCUCAUACUUCCUCGUCAGAUUUUGCAAAGAUCCCAAUACAUAGACUUUGACAUGAAAAAGAACACCGGUGACAACCCCAAUGAAUAUCCCCACAAUAUGCGUUGGUAUGGUAUUUAUGGAAAUUGCAAACCUGUAGGCUUUAAUAACGCACUAGAUUUGUUGCACUAUAAUCUCUGGUGUAAUUGUUAUAAUAAAUAG